AAGACUAUAGACCUGCGGAGUACCUGCGGAAGGAUCAUUUGUGAACACUUGCAUUCAUUCCUUCACAGGAUGAAUCAAUCUCUAAACCUUGUGGGCAGAUGGCUUGUGGUUUGGCGACCCUCUGGGCCGCCACCUUCAUGCUGGAAGCUUGGUUGUCUGAAUCUGAAUUUUAAAGUCAAAACUUUCAACAACGGAUCUCU
RNAcentral lists this unclassified non-coding RNA (200 nucleotides) under soil metagenome. RNAcentral's name for it is "partial contains 5.8S ribosomal RNA, internal transcribed spacer 2, and large subunit ribosomal RNA". The record is from RNAcentral.